This is a non-coding RNA of Acanthosepion pharaonis, 113 nucleotides long. The record is from the annotation of a GenBank genome assembly. NCBI's taxonomy places the organism in Eukaryota, Metazoa, Mollusca, Cephalopoda, Sepiida, Sepiidae.
UUACGGCCACAUCACGUCGAAAUACCGGUUCCCAUAUGAUCACCGAAGUUAAGUAACGUAGUACCUGGAAGUACCUAGAUGGGUGACCGCUUGGGAAUACCAGGUGCUGUAAG